Molecule: long non-coding RNA, 3592 nt
Filed under: Homo sapiens (human)
Lineage: Eukaryota; Metazoa; Chordata; Mammalia; Primates; Hominidae
Description: non-protein coding lnc-PABPC4-4:4
Source: RNAcentral
AAGUGCUAUACGCCAGUCUGGGCCUCGUCCAACUCUUCGCCAUCUGGCUCCAACUGGUAAUGCUCCGGCCUCUCGUGGCCUCCCUACUACCACUCAGAGAGUCGGUGAGCAAACUGGCCUUUAGAAGUGUGGCCUGGGGAGGAGGGAGUCAGGAUGACUAGGCUCUGUCCUGGGUUGGUCAGUUUGUUGGGCUCGAAUUUAUCGAGUCCUGGUUCUGUAAUCUUAGCUGUGUGCUUAGGUGGCCACUUCAGGAGCAGAGAAACAGUAUGAGUUCUAGGUGUGUCAGUUGCUUUUAACAUUCUUUGCUCAUCGGUGACCUAUGUGAAAAAGGUUAGUUGUAGAAGUUUGCUAGCUGGAUGACCACAGAGGCAGCUUGUUCUUUUGGGUGGGGUGAGGAAUACAAGGAAACAGUGUAUACAGAAUAUGUCUUGUAUUCCAAGAUGUGGAAAGAGUUGUAUGUUAUCCUUUGGCUCAUCCUCGAAAGUAGUAGUGGCCCCCUGUGCAAUGUGUUGCGUAAACGUGCUUUGAAAUUUCUCCUUCCGUGGGACGUGGCCAGUUGGACAUCUGCCGCCAACACUGAUGUGCAUUUGCUGGUCUGUUGUAGGGUCUGAGUGCCCGGACCGCUUGGCUAUGGACUUUGGUGGGGCUGGUGCCGCCCAGCAAGGGCUGACUGACAGCUGCCAGUCUGGAGGUGGUAUUGGAUGCACACAGAAGGGGGAAAGAUGGGAUUUGACGGGUCUUUGCCCAGACUGAUGGGCUUUAAUUGUAUUUGUUCUUUCCCUAAGGCGUUCCCACAGCUGUGCAGAACUUAGCGCCACGCGCUGCUGUUGCUGCUGCUGCUCCCCGGGCUGUUGCCCCCUACAAAUACGCCUCCAGUGUCCGCAGCCCUCAUCCUGCCAUACAGCCUCUGCAGGUGAGGUUCACCAGACAGAAUGCUUAAAAGGAUUUCCCCCAUUUCCACUUGAUGUAAAAGAAGCUGUGCUUUUGAUUCCUUCAACAGGUAUUAAAUGCCUGCUCUGUGUUAUGACGCUAUGUUCUGAUUCACUGUCCCUGCCCUUCAGGGGCUCACUAGUGGGAAAGAAGGGGCUUAAAAGUGCUCUGCCUGAUGCCAGUUCACUCAGAAAUGCCUCAGAGCGGGCAGCCAGUGCUUCCUCUUCUGUUUGUACGAAAUAAUGUGCUCAUUCAGCUGUUUGAGCCUCCAGGUCACUUCCGCAUCCAAUGACCUAUUGGAUCCUUGGCUGCUCUGCAAGAUGAUUGGUACAUUAAUGCAGGAAAUAACUUCAACUUACAGAUCGGAUGUUCAGCUUCAAAGAUGUAAAGUGUGUGUAGGAGGUGAAGGGGUUGAACCUAGAGCUUAGAUUUUCUAAGCUGUAACUUGCUGUCUCUAGACCUGUGCUCUAGAUGCAACUAGUUUGUUUCAGAGCCUAAUAGCAAUUUGCUGUGGAGGUGUCACCCUAAGCCUUCAGGCCCAUAAGCUGCUUAGGAGAUUACUCUUUAACUGUCCUGUCUCAUACUCUCUAAGUUGGGGAUUUCCUAGAACUUGAUGCUAUGUAAAAUACCUUUUCUUUGCAAGGCUUUGACUAGCAUUGACGUUGCAUGUUGACCGUUUUUAAGCAUUUGAUACAAAAACAUUUGGUAGAAUUAAGGUGAUGUGGAAUGUAAUUAUAAAUGUGUUGAUAUUUACUCCCUUUGAUCCAAUCUGCACUGAGAUUUACCCUAAAGGAAAACUAAUUUUCAGGAAAAGGUUAUAUACAAGUGUUUACCCUUAUUUAUAUCAAGGCUUUUCAUUCUUGAGUAACUUUGGGUGUAUUAAGGAAAUGUCAGAAAAUGCUUGCCUAGCACUAUAGGUUUGUUUUAUUAUUUACGUUUCACUUCGCUUUCUGAUAGCAUGCCAUUUUCAUUGUAAUUGGUUGUGUUUAUGUCCAUACCACUCUGUUCCUCAACACACCCCUCAAUCCUUCAAGGACUGAAAUUAGUUCCUUUAGAGCAAGGACAGCCACCUCCUCUCCUCUUUCACAUAGUCAGAUGUUCAGAUAUUGAACAGGCACUCAACCACCAUCAGGUGUUGUCCUUUCCUCAGUGCUAACCCACUGCCUUUCCUGGUUCCCAGGCACCCCAGCCUGCGGUCCAUGUGCAGGGGCAGGAGCCACUGACUGCCUCCAUGCUGGCUGCAGCACCCCCCCAGGAACAGAAGCAGAUGCUGGGAGAACGCUUGUUCCCACUCAUCCAAACAAUGCAUUCAAAUCUGGCUGGGAAGAUCACGGGAAUGCUGCUGGAGAUAGACAACUCUGAGCUGCUGCACAUGUUAGAGUCCCCCGAGUCUCUCCGCUCCAAGGUGAGCUGGGGCUCAGACCCUGCAGCUUCAGUUCUCAGCUUGGGAAGACUGGGGGCAAACUUGGAUGCCCAGGUGCAGCAGAAAGUGGGAUCUGCUGCCCCCAGGACCCCUCUCGUCAUGCCUUGACUGUGACUGGAGGCUGCAGUGGGUAUUUGGGAAAGUAGUUAGCACCAGAAGCCUAGGGAUCAUCUGUACAGUUGGCUUUGGUCCACCACUAGGUCUGGGCACUGGGGAGGGGUGGAGUAGCUCUCCUAGAUUCACUGACCACCUGAAGAUUUCUCGCAGGUGGAUGAAGCUGUAGCAGUUCUACAGGCUCAUCAUGCCAAGAAAGAAGCUGCCCAGAAGGUGGGCGCUGUUGCUGCUGCUACCUCUUAGACAAGGAAAAACCGUAUGUGUGGCUAUUUUCAUUUUUGUUCCUAUGAGCAUUGUUCCUAUGAGCAUUGUCUUUGUGGUUUGACCUGAGGUUGUAUAUAUGCUCACUGCUUAGCUCUGGGAAUACAAUAAGUACAGUUAGUUACACGGAGUGUGUUGCAGGUGACUUCUUAUCAUGAGGACUGUGGACUUUGUCUGCAGGAGCUUGAGUGAAUAAUAAAACUAGUACUGGUUGAUGGUUGUAGGUGUCUCCAGAUAGGGAAAGAAGAGACAGUAAAAUAAGCUAAGGAAAAAGCACAUGGUAAGGACCAGAGCUGGUGUGUUGGGAGGGUUGACUUGGCAUAGUCAUGACCCUCUUGUCAAGGGCCUCAGGAGCCUUGUCAUCUAGUGGUAAAGACCAGAGAUGCUGCUAAAUGUUGUACAGUACACAGGAGGACAGACCCAACAGAAUGUCCAAAGUGUCAAUAGCACUGAGGUUGAGAAACUCUCUUCUAGAAUACCUUCCUUUAUCCACUAUAUGUUAAUGAAUCUAAAUUAUUUGAUUAUGCAUUUAUUUGUGUUGGUGCUUUUCUUUACAGGAUUCAAAAGCCAAAUAACCCCUUAUGGAAUUCAACUCAAGGUUUGAAGACUUCCUAGCUUGUCCUAUGGACCUCAACACCAAGGAUUACAAAUUGCAAAUUUAAUAGGUCAUUUUGUAUCAAAAGGUCAAUUAUGAAGCACCUAGAAUUUUUCAAUUAUACGAAUAUGUUCUUUGGGUUCUGCUGUGGCCCAGACAGUGUUAACUUUUUUUUUAUUGUGGGUUUUGAUUUUUUCCCCCAGAAAUUGGUUUUAUUUGAUGUACCCAAGUCUUACGUUUCCCAAUAAAGAAAAAAAAUCUCCAUAAAA